UGGGGAAUAUUGGACAAUGGGCGCAAGCCUGAUCCAGCAAUGCCGCGUGAGUGAUGAAGGCCUUAGGGUUGUAAAGCUCUUUCGCACGCGACGAUGAUGACGGUAGCGUGAGAAGAAGCCCCGGCUAACUUCGUGCCAGCAGCCGCGGUAAUACGAAGGGGGCUAGCGUUGUUCGGAAUUACUGGGCGUAAAGGGCGCGUAGGCGGCCUGUUUAGUCAGAAGUGAAAGCCCCGGGCUCAACCUGGGAAUAGCUUUUGAUACUGGCAGGCUUGAGUUCCGGAGAGGAUGGUGGAAUUCCCAGUGUAGAGGUGAAAUUCGUAGAUAUUGGGAAGAACACCGGUGGCGAAGGCGGCCGUCUGGACGGACACUGACGCUGAGGCGCGAAAGCGUGGGGAGCAAACAGGAUUAGGAUACCCUGGUAGUCCACGCCGUAAACGAUGAAUGCUAGACGUCGGGGUGCAUGCAGCUUCGGUGUCGCCGCUAACGCAUUAAGCAUUCCGCCUGGGGAGUACGGCCGCAAGGUUAAAACUCAAAGG
RNAcentral lists this ribosomal RNA (536 nucleotides) under uncultured bacterium. Its description in RNAcentral is "partial 16S ribosomal RNA". It matches the Rfam family "Bacterial small subunit ribosomal RNA", at positions 355 to 907 of the family's 1533-position model. The record is from RNAcentral.